GGAGAGUUGACUCACACAACCACAGGGUGA
This 30-nucleotide non-coding RNA is filed under the name Homo sapiens (human). The record is from RNAcentral. Lineage: Eukaryota; Metazoa; Chordata; Mammalia; Primates; Hominidae.